Ornithorhynchus anatinus (platypus) is the source of this 138-nucleotide small nucleolar RNA. The record is from RefSeq and is a predicted model, not a curated record. Lineage: Eukaryota; Metazoa; Chordata; Mammalia; Monotremata; Ornithorhynchidae.
CCCCUCUCAGGGUCACAUCUGGAGAGUUUCCAGUACUCAACCAGUCUUAGCUACGGGAGGGAGAGUCAAGCAGAGGCCUGUCCAUUCCAUUCCUAGCUUGGGCAAUGGCUAAUGAGUGGAAGGCCAUCUGCUACAAAU